This 2093-nucleotide long non-coding RNA is filed under the name Astyanax mexicanus (Mexican tetra). RNAcentral's name for it is "lncRNA (ENSAMXG00005017364.1)". The record is from RNAcentral. Lineage: Eukaryota; Metazoa; Chordata; Actinopteri; Characiformes; Acestrorhamphidae.
GUAAUCUAGUGAUAAAGUAAAAAUUAAUGCUGAUUUUUAAUGGUGUUAAAUUGUUAAUGCACAGAUUUCCUAAGGAUGCUGAGCGAAGGCUGGAGUGGUGUAAUGCAGUGCAGAUGCAGACGGCAGCUCUGGAGCCGUUCACUCUGUCCUGUAACAGCGUGCUGUGCAGUAAACACUUCACCGAGGACAUGUUCGACCGCACUGGCCAGACUGUCCGUCUGAGAGACACUGCCGUACCCUCUGUCUUUAAUUUACAAAUCACUAAGAAAGUAAAAGAUGAAGCUACAAAAGAGAUGAUUCCACACAAAAGGAGAAACAGUGCACAUCUGCUGAGAAGAAGAAGAAAGAAGAAUUGGGAAGGAAGCAAUAAAGAGAGAAUACAAAGCACAGCCUCAGGUCUGGGAGAGUUGGCUCUGGCGGCUGAGCUGAUGGAGGAGAGCCAGCAGGAGAUUCAGAAAGGAUUCCAGAACGACCACGGUGGCCUUCCCCUCCCGUCCGACCCGGCGAGACUGAGCGUUCUGGUGCGAAACCUGGCGAAAGAGAGACACUGGCAGGGGGAGACGCUGCUCUCGCUCCGCAAAGAGCUCAAAACCAAGGACGCUCAGCUGCAGGAGAAGAAGCUGCAGUUGGAGAGGAUGGUGGAGAGUCAGAGAGAUGCUGAUAAGUAUAAAAUCUGCUCUCUGGAGAACAUGUUAUGUAAGCAGCGCCUGGAGACGCUGAAAGUACAGGAGGAACUGUCCCAAACCAGGAAGCAGCUGAAGGAACGUACAGAGGCCCUGCACUGCCUGGCUGCUGUCAGACAGAUCCCGGUGCGCUGCAGUCCUCAUUACGUCUCCGUAUUUCAGCCUAAACACACUCUGUCCUGUGUUUCGGGUCGUCAGCUGACCGUCCUGCACUGCGUGGACCUCUUCUGUAGCUCCUCAAAACGGGACCGGCAGCAGGCGGCCAGAAGGCUACGCCCCUCCUCAGACGGGCAGCACCUAUCAGCUCUGCCGUAUCGAUUUCCCUGCCCGGUCCGUGUCUGCGCCGUGGCCUCGCCGGAGGGCUACCUGGGCUUCUGCAGCUCCGCCCGCCUGGACGAGUGGCAGGAGUGGACAGCCAAUCAGGAUAACCCAAAGCCUUUAACCUUACCUGCGUUUGUAAUGAAUGGGGAGGGGGCGGAGCCUCUCGCUGGUAUGCCAGUAAGGGAAGUGCUGAGUAUUAAGAGUCUGACGGACAAAGUGAUGAAAUAUCAUUAUCUGAGGACGGUUCAUGCACACGGGUCAGAGGCUCUGCUGGACCAGGCCUGGGAGGUGUGCUGCUACCUGGCCUGCCUACUGUAUCAGCCAAUGGGGCUGCGCUAACUGCAGGUCACUAGCCAAUAGGGCUCCAAGAUACUGGAAAAAUAAUUUUUGGCUCUGCAGCGUAUAUUGCUGUUAGUGUUGUUGUCAAGACCACUAGACCUGAUUCAAGACCAAGACUUGUAGGUAUUUGAGUCCAAGUCAAGACCAAAAGUUUUGGUAGUUAAAUCUGAGUCCAAGACCAAGACUUCUAGUUGUUGAGUCCAAGUCAAGACCAAGACUUUUGGUGAUCAAGUCCAUUUCAAAAUCAAGACUUUUGGUAGUUGAAUCCAAGUGAAGACCAAGACUUUCAGUUGUUGAAUCCAAGUCAAGACCAAGACUUUUGGUUGUUGAGUCCAAGACUGUUGGGCAUUGAGUCUGAAUCAAGACCAAGACUUUUGGUAGUUAAAUCUGAGUCAAGACCAAGAUUUUCAAUUGUUGAGUCUGAGUCAAUACCAAUAUUUUGUUAGUUGAGCCAGAGUCAAGACCUGGACAUAUUGAGUCCAAAACAAGUCUUUUGGUAGUUGAGUUAGAGUCAAGAUGAGUUCAAGUCAUAGAGUCCAAGUCAAGACCAAGACUUGGACAUAUAAUAUUAUUUUUUUAUUAGUAAGAUGAAUUAUUAUAAAAACAGCAGUUUAAACUGAAAAGAAAGUGUCAUUUUACCUGCACAAAACAUUGCAUAACACAAAUUGUUUGUUGAAGUUUUAACAAUGUCUUUUUCAUAAUUAAGGCAUUUUAUGUAUUCAUUUAACUCCUGUAUUUUCCUAAAAAAAU